This 75-nucleotide transfer RNA is filed under the name Sphaerodactylus townsendi. RNAcentral describes it as "tRNA-Ala". Lineage: Eukaryota; Metazoa; Chordata; Lepidosauria; Squamata; Sphaerodactylidae. The record is from RNAcentral.
GGAGGGGCCACGGCUCAGUGGCUGAACAUCUUCUUGGCAGGCAGAAGGUCCCUGGUUCAUUCCCUGGCUUCUCCA